AUGGGUGGUUUAGGCAAAACGACUCUUGUCCGUCAGGUCUAUAAAAAGGAUGAAAUUAAGCAGAAUUUUAACUGUUUUGCAUGGAUUUCAGUUUCUCAAAGUUACAACAUUGAACAUCUGUUGAGGGAAAUAUUAAAGCAGCUCCAGGCGAAGGAAAAGGACAUCCCUCAUCAGGUCGCCACAACCGAUGUUGCAAGCUUGGUGCAUACACUGACGAACUUCUUGCAGGACAAAAGGUAUUUGAUCGUCUUGGAUGACAUGUGGAGUCGAGAUGCGUGGAAAUUAUUAAAUCAUGCACUGGGUAUAAGCAACAAAGGAAGCAGGAUCAUCAUAACUACAAGAAAUGAAGAUGUUUCUUCCUUAGCAGAUGAUAAGCACUGCAUUCAACUUAAAAUGCUUGGGAAGGAAGAAGGGUGGGAUCUCUUCUGUAAAAAAGCCUUUCCAAGAAUAGAAGGGAAAACAUGUCCUCAGAGUCUCAUUUGUUGGGCAGAAAAAAUUGUGGGCAAGUGUGAAGGGUUGCCACUAGCUAUUGUUGCCAUUGGAAGUUUGCUGUCACACAAAAAGCUAUAUGAAAAUGAAUGGAAAUCUUUCUAUAAUCAGCUAGAUUGGCAGAUAGUUAACAACCCAGAACUCAACUCUGUAAUGAAUGUCCUGGACAUUAGCAUCAACUCUUUAUCAGGAAAUCUGAAAAACUGCUUUCUAUACUGUGGCAUAUUUCCCGAAGACUUUCAGAUUCGAAGAAAUUACCUUAUUAGGUUAUGGAUAGCUGAAGGCUUCGUACAAGAAAGGGGGCCAAGUAUAACUAUGGAGGAAGUAGGGAAUGAGUAUCUCAAUGAAAUCGCUCAACGUUCACUUCUUCAAGUGGUC
RNAcentral lists this ribosomal RNA (867 nucleotides) under Triticum aestivum (bread wheat). RNAcentral describes it as "partial small subunit ribosomal RNA". The record is from RNAcentral. Lineage: Eukaryota; Viridiplantae; Streptophyta; Magnoliopsida; Poales; Poaceae.